UGGUAGACGAUGAUGAGAAAGAGUACAAAGAGGAAUUGCAACAAGCGAAGAUGGAGUAGUGGAAGCCAUUUGCAAGGAACUUUUGGAAGUGCGUCUCUGAGUUGAUUGGAAGAAACAUUAUUAAGUAUUCCAAUCCGUUUUGACUGCGUUAAAGUUUUAAGCAGGAACGAAGUAUCGUUCAAACAGAGUGGGACCGCGGAAUCUUUCGUCUCUGGA
RNAcentral lists this non-coding RNA (216 nucleotides) under Desulfosporosinus sp. RNAcentral describes it as "T-box sequence". It matches the Rfam family "T-box leader". Rfam says of the family: Uncharged tRNA acts as the effector for transcription antitermination of genes in the T-box leader family. T-boxes are found upstream of many aminoacyl-tRNA synthetase genes and some amino acid biosynthetic genes usually in Gram-positive bacteria. The record is from RNAcentral. Lineage: Bacteria; Bacillati; Bacillota; Clostridia; Eubacteriales; Desulfitobacteriaceae.